This 374-nucleotide ribosomal RNA is filed under the name uncultured bacterium. Its description in RNAcentral is "bacterial SSU rRNA". It matches the Rfam family "Bacterial small subunit ribosomal RNA", at positions 607 to 975 of the family's 1533-position model. The record is from RNAcentral.
GACUUAAACCUGGGAAUGGCGGUUGAAACUCUNCGGACUAGAAUCUGGCAGAGGGGGGUGGAAUUCCACGUGUAGAACAGUGAAAUGCGUAGAGAUGUGGAGGAACACCGAUGGCGAANAGCAGCCCCCUGGGCUGAGAUUGACGCUCAGGCACGAAAGCGUGGGGAGCAAACAGGAUUAGAUACCCUGGUAGUCCACGCCCUAAACGAUGUCAACUAGGUGUCGGGAGCGCAAGUGCUUGGUACCGCAGCUAACGCGUGAAGUUGACCGCCUGGGGAGUACGGUCGCAAGAUUAAAACUCAAAGGAAUUGACGGGGACCCGCACAAGCGGUGGAUGAUGUGGAUUAAUUCGAUGCAACGCGAACAACCUUACC